Molecule: long non-coding RNA, 3932 nt
Filed under: Limulus polyphemus (Atlantic horseshoe crab)
Lineage: Eukaryota; Metazoa; Arthropoda; Merostomata; Xiphosura; Limulidae
Description: uncharacterized LOC106469607
Source: RNAcentral
ACAGGAGUAAGGAAAUCAAAACUGACGAUAGAGGGUGCAUAAAUAUCUCUUUUACUAAUUAUAAACAAGGAAAGAACAGUUGCACUUUUUAAAUAUUUUAUUCGGUUUGGGUUCUGUGAGCCACCUCUAGAAUACAAAUGAGUGGGGUUGUGAAAGUUAAACUCUUGUUUUUUGCAAAAGCAAGAGAACUGGUAAGUGUCACAGAAAGUGAAUUAGAGUUACCAGAUGGACACUACAGUCAGAAGAAUAUAUUGUCCAUUAUUUUGGAAAAGUACCCAGUGCUCAGUCCCAUUCAGGAAAAUGUUAUUCUUGCCAUAAAUGAAGAGUACAUGGACUGUGCUCAGAGCAUACAACUCAAGGAAGGAGAUCAACUUGCAGUGAUCCCACCACUAAGUGGAGGCUAACUUGUCAAAAGACCUGAAUAAAUCAGAAAGUUGUACUUUUUAACUAUUUUUGAAAUGAAUAAGAUAACAUAGGAUAUUUGAAACAUAAAUUCUCUAUCAAUUUCUAAAUCAGUGUGGAAGAAGUGACAGCUCAUGCUUCGUCAUCUGAUUGUGGGUCUGUUUUCAUCUCAACUACUAAUGACAAACAAUCAGGUUCAGGCUAAGAGAGUGAUCCAUUUAAUGUACCAAGCUUAUGAGCCAUAGGCUGUAAAAGAAAUUACAUAAAUUUGUUAUGAAGUGAGUCAAAAGUGGCCUGUAAAAAAGUUUCAUGAUGUUGCAUUUCGUUGGUGCUUUCCCAAUUAUAGAUGAGUGUUGUCAUAGCUUUUUCUUCUGAACAUUGCUAAGAAGAUCUGGAGGCAGAGAAUUAACCCAUUGAUAGUUAAUAAAGAUUGUAAAUUUGGAAAAGUGAAUAUUAUGCAAAUGAAGAGAAAGUGUGGAAGUAAAAUGAUAAGUGUCUGUGGAAAAAUUCUCUGUAAUCAUAGUGGAUUGGAUUUUAUUGCUCAUUUAGUAGUUUAUUUUUCCUUAUUUUAAGUAAAAAAAUUUCCAAGGUUUAUUGAUUUAUUUGAACUAAAUUUCUGUGUGUGUGACAUUGUUAUCUUUAAAUUUUAGUUAAAAUAUAAUAUGAUCCUUGUAACAUUAAUUUCCAACACUUUACACAUUUGAUUUGUUAAGUAGAUGAUUGAUUUUGAUUCAAGGAGUAGAUAUCUCUAUAAUUUAAGUGUAUAUCAGAGAUACCCUAUGAUAUAUAAUUAUGACCUGUUGCAUUAUCUGUAAAAUUACCAGUUUAUAAAUGAGAACUAUACCAGUAUCCUUUUUUUUGAGUAAUAAUUUCUUAAAAUGUUAAUUGCUAAUGAUGCUAUCCAACUGUUUUACAUAAAUUGAAACAUGAUCUACAUACUUUUAUUAAGUGUAGUAGAACUUAGCUCAUUAUGUUUGGCAAAGUAUCUUUUAUUUAAUGCCAUUGCUAAGUAAUGAGCUUCCUUGAGAGAAAUAGCUUAUGCAGGUGUUAAUGUGUAUCUCAUAACUAUUAGGUGGUGAAAUACCCAGAAAUAACGUCAUUUACGGAAGGUUUGGAAAAUUGGUAUUUGUUUUAUUUUGUGGAAACUGUUAAUGUGUGACUUAGAGUUUAGAAGUUCAACAAUGUUAUAGUGAAAUAGUUAGUCUUUAUUAAUUUAGCUUAGGUAACCUGAAAAUUAUUAUUUUAUUGACCUGAAUUGUGGUAGUUUGUAUUAAAAAUGCAUAAUUGAUAUAUAUAUAUUGUAUGGCACGUGUUGAUGAACAAUAAUUCUAUAAAGAACUCUUAAACAUUACUAAGAAGUAGAUUGAGUGUUGUGCAUAUAAGUCAACUGCAAUUACUAUUUCCUUAGUGUAUUUUAAUUGAAAGUCUAUUGGAGCAACUGUGUAUUAUAAACAAGGACUUCAGUCUAUAACCUAAACGCAUUAUGGAAAGUAACUAUACUAUAUGAAGGGAAAAAAAAAAAUGCAUAUUUACUAAACAAAGAUAUAUGAAAGUAGCUUAAUUCUGUAUUUGAUAGAAUGCAUGAAAAACCUACCCUGUUUAGGAAAUGAUAUGUUACUGUGCAGUGUAAUAAUGUUUAAUGAAACAAAUCCUACCUAUCUAUGUUAAUAUUUUUCUGGAAUUGUUACCACAGAGGAUUAAUUGUUUUUGGUUUAAUGUGCAAUAACAAUUAAACAUAAUAAGGAUAGAGAUUUGUGGAAUCAGCAUUUUACUGGAUCAAAACAAUGAAUUGUUGGCCACUUUGCACUAAAAUAUUGUGAUCAUUUCUACGCCUUGUCCAACAAACAAAGGGUUUGUUUGUUCUGCGAAUUAAGAACACAAUGUGAUGCGGAUCAAUACCUUUUCUGAACUCGUAUCCACUAUUUCCAUGACAAUAAGGUACUAAAUCUUGUCAGAUUAAAUUGAAGGGCAUCAAGUGACGGAUGUUAUUGCGAGUUAAAUUAGUAAUAGACAAAUGUUCAUGAAACAGCAUAUUCUGCCUGCACAGCGAGCAUAAAGGAUUUAAUUACAAGUACUCUAGUCCCAAAUUAACUGAAAAUAUCAGGUUCUGAGCUCUCAGAGUUUCGAGAAUAAUUAGUUUAUAUGAAAGGAAGCAGGAUUGGAACGUUAAACCAUUUCUAACCGGUUUUCUUUGUGUUUCAAAAAAUUUGUGCUUUAAAAUUUGUAGGACUGCUUAUAAUCGUAUGUUCAUCUUGCUACAGGAUUUGCACUACAUUGUGUAAAUGAUGCAUUUUCAUAUACAACAGUUUAGAAUUGAAAGAAUUACUUAAUCAUAAAUUAUUAUAUCAUGCUAGGUGAAGGGUGGUUUAAAAUGUCUUUUAAAAAUAUCCAGAACAAGCUGAAAAUAGGAAUAUUAAUAUCAUGAAAAUAAUCAAUUAGUUAAAUGUAAUUGAUUAAUAAGGUCAAGGAUUAAUCAAUUGACAAAUUCCACUAAUCACCCAGGUCUGUUUAUUACAUUGUUACUAGUUUUAAAUCUAUAAAUUGUGAAUUUUUGAACAUAUGCAUACAACAAGCAUCAAAAUACAUAUUAAUUCUAACAACUCCUUUAGUUAUUUUUAAAUACAAAUGUAGAGAAUAAAGCUAAUACAAUCUUCAUAAUAUGCUGUUUAGAAUAUAUUUGUAUUCAGUUUCUUUAUUCUAUACUUGCAUAUAUAUAUAUUUUAAAUGCCCAUGAAGGUAAUAAAAUGUUUUGGUACAAAAUUUGUGUUUUGUGCAUUAAUAUAAUGUUUAAUCUCUUAUAUAGCUUUUCAAAGACAUAUGAGUACUUCAAUAAUAAUAAUAAUAAUUGUAAGCACAUUGAUUAACCUCUAUUUUGCAUUAUAACACCUUUAAAUUAGGAUAUGAAAAUGGUAUAAUAAAGAUAUAGUCUUUUUAAUUAGGAGUUUUAUAGUAAUAUGAAGUUGUUUGUGGGUGCUCCAAGAUGAUAAUUGAGUUGACUCAAUAAAAUAUUUUAAUAAUUUUUGAGUUUAAUGAAAUGUAGUUAGUGUUAGAUUAACACUGAAGUAUUUGGAUAAAUGCUUAACUCAACUAAGUAUUUAGAUUAUGCUGGUUUAAUUGAAAUAUUGGAUAAACCUAGAUUAACUCAGUGGAACAGUUAUCUAAUUUGGUUUCACUGAGUGAAAUGUUAAUACAAUAUUGGAUUAAUUGUAUACAAUUGUAUGUGCUUUUUUUGGAUGUCAUUUUCAGUUGACAGUAAACAAUUUAGCUUUAGAUUUUAGUUACAUUGUUCUUAGUAUGGUGAUAAAAAAAAUUAAGAAUGGUUUAAUGACAAAUCCUCUGUUGUUAAAUUCAAAAGGAAACUUUAAACUCAUAUCUUUAUAAAUUAGCAGUUACAAUAUCUUAAUUUUAAUUGUGUAUCUAGCUGUAUAUCACAUAUUGAAGUAGCAGUUGGUCUGCAUUUUUACCCAUAUGAAAGCCUGUAUGCAAAUCUGUCUCUCUGAGUCAUGAGAAAUAAAGUAUUUUACUUGCAA